AUGCACGCUGGCGGCGUGCCUAAUACCUGCCAGUCGAGCGAACAGACGAGGAGCUUGCUCCUCUGACGUUAGCGGCGGACGGGUGAGUAACACGUGGAUAACCUACCUAUAAGACUGGGAUAACUUCGGGAAACCGGAGCUAAUACCGGAUAAUAUAUUGAACCGCAUGGUUCAAUAGUGAAAGACGGUUUUGCUGUCACUUAUAGAUGGAUCCGCGCCGCAUUAGCUAGUUGGUAAGGUAACGGCUUACCAAGGCAACGAUGCGUAGCCGACCUGAGAGGGUGAUCGGCCACACUGGAACUGAGACACGGUCCAGACUCCUACGGGAGGCAGCAGUAGGGAAUCUUCCGCAAUGGGCGAAAGCCUGACGGAGCAACGCCGCGUGAGUGAUGAAGGUCUUCGGAUCGUAAAACUCUGUUAUUAGGGAAGAACAAAUGUGUAAGUAACUAUGCACGUCUUGACGGUACCUAAGCAGAAAGCCACGGCUAACUACGU
RNAcentral lists this ribosomal RNA (495 nucleotides) under uncultured bacterium. RNAcentral describes it as "partial 16S ribosomal RNA". It matches the Rfam family "Bacterial small subunit ribosomal RNA", at positions 29 to 506 of the family's 1533-position model. The record is from RNAcentral.